UCUGUCCCCCCUGGCCCAGGGCCCACAUAGACAGACAGAGAGAGUGAGACAACAGCUAUGUGGGCCCUGGGCCAGGGGGGGACAGAGAGAGAGAGAGAGAGAGAGAGUGAGACAACGGCUGUCCCUGACCCAGGACCCACAUAGCUGUUGUCUCACUCUCUGUCUGUCUCU
This 171-nucleotide small nucleolar RNA is filed under the name Salmo salar (Atlantic salmon). RNAcentral's name for it is "Small nucleolar RNA SNORA17 (ENSSSAG00000044347.2, ENSSSAG00070032389.1)". It matches the Rfam family "Small nucleolar RNA SNORA17". From Rfam's summary of the family: snoRNA ACA 17 belongs to the H/ACA family of snoRNAs and is predicted to guide pseudouridylation of the 28S rRNA at positions U4659 and U4598. It shares the same host gene together with ACA43. The record is from Rfam by way of RNAcentral. Lineage: Eukaryota; Metazoa; Chordata; Actinopteri; Salmoniformes; Salmonidae.